RNAcentral lists this transfer RNA (85 nucleotides) under Psittacicella gerlachiana. RNAcentral's name for it is "Bisgaard taxon 44 str. EEAB3T1 tRNA-Leu". It matches the Rfam family "tRNA". From Rfam's summary of the family: Transfer RNA (tRNA) molecules are approximately 80 nucleotides in length. RNAcentral also lists the same sequence under 2 other names. Lineage: Bacteria; Pseudomonadati; Pseudomonadota; Gammaproteobacteria; Pasteurellales; Psittacicellaceae. The record is from RNAcentral.
GCGGGAAUGGCGAAAUUGGUAGACGCACCAGAUUUAGGUUCUGGCGCCGAGAGGUGUAGGAGUUCAAGUCUCCUUUCCCGCACCA